AGUACGGCCCAGGCUCAAAUUUAAGAAGACGUUCCUACAAAAAGGAUUUUACUCGAGUUUGACGCAUUUUAAAAAGGCCAAGGCCACCUCUAUCGGACCUGCGGUCAGCCCCGCCCACAACGCCUUGGUGACCAGGCAAUCAGACACUUCUCGGUUACUCGCGUUGGUUUCGAGAGCACAAGAAUUCGAUUCGGGAAAGUAAGGUUGAUAAAAGGAGACUGGAAGAGUAUGCUGAUGACUGUCCUUAGGGUACGGGCCACAGGUCAAGUCCAUAUACCCAUCGUUGCACCGGCCUUUUGUAUUAGUGACAUUAUGGAGCGCUUUAAUGUUGAUGGCACUAGAAGGACUGAUACAAUGGCCGUUUAUUCCGCCAUUUGUGCCCGCUUUGAAUGAGUUUGGGAUCUGACCUUUGGAAUCCAAGCCGCUGUUGGGUCUCAAGUAAUCACCGGCAUCAGACUCGAUCGAAUUCCCCAAAUAACCCAAUCCAUUUGGUAUACUUGAACCAGACACCGUUACCAUAUCACGGUGUAAGUCGUUUCUACCGUUAUUUUUAGUAUAUGAACUGCGUUUGGAUCCAGAACGAUAGUCUACCCGUGUCGGAAUCAUUUUAUCUCCCUCUAAGCAUGAACUACGCGGCUGAAGACCGCGGUCGUAUCUCAUAUACACAAAGUUCUCCUGC
Nematostella vectensis (starlet sea anemone) is the source of this 679-nucleotide long non-coding RNA. RefSeq lists it as uncharacterized. NCBI's taxonomy places the organism in Eukaryota, Metazoa, Cnidaria, Anthozoa, Actiniaria, Edwardsiidae. The transcript has 2 exons. The record is from RefSeq and is a predicted model, not a curated record.